UGAAAAGAUAUCUGCUACAGUGGUGUAUUCUCAUGUUCUGAGGUCUGUUUGGAGCUAGACUGCCUCCUGCAUAAUCAUGUGCCCAGUGCUCCUUAUGCAGCUGGGUAGUCAUUUCCCCACUGCAGUUAAAUUCUGCCCUCUUGCAAUAAUAUGUGUGGAUGUGAUCCAGCCUUCAUUGAAGCCAAGGGAGAAACGUGACUGGCUGAAAGGUAUUUAUUGCUGUAAAUGAACUAUAUGAGUGCAUGUGCUUCCAAUGGUAAAGCCUACUUGAGAGUCCACUUUGAGGGUGGCAUGCUAAAGGCCUUAAUUUAAAUUCCUUAUUGUGCAUCUGAGUAGAUGGUGUGCUUCAGAUAAAUGUGGAGAACUUUUGUGCUGUAAAAAUAGGGGUCUAAUCCACCGUACAACACACAUCUUUUAAUAUUUAAAAGCAACAAACUCAGUGUUUCAAUCUGUCACCCUAAAGUAGUGUCUGUGUUGGCACAUUAAACUAUGUUAUUUGUUGAGGAAAGUAAAAUUAAAUCAGGAAGCUAGAAAAUUUUACUCAUGUAUGCGGGUCUAUUCAGACUUUCAAGCUGCAUAAAAGCAAUUCCAUGGUUAGUUAUUUAUCAUUAGAUUGAAAUCUGUUUUACAUAUGCUUUGUAUUACAGAAAUUAGUGUUUCCUUUUGCCUUCCACAGGCUUGAUGUUCACCUAAUGCUGUUUCCACAUAAACAUUUUUAAUUAGACUGAAAAUCUGUCAAAACAACUGAUGCAGAAUCAGUCUCAGCAGAAUCAUCUCCAGGAUUUGUGACCUAGGUGUCUUUUCAGAAGCAUCACCCUUAGUUUUCUAUUAAAGGGG
Molecule: long non-coding RNA, 837 nt
Filed under: Cyanistes caeruleus (blue tit)
Lineage: Eukaryota; Metazoa; Chordata; Aves; Passeriformes; Paridae
Description: lncRNA (ENSCCEG00000015850.1)
Source: RNAcentral